RNAcentral lists this small RNA (334 nucleotides) under Histoplasma capsulatum var. duboisii H88. RNAcentral describes it as "Histoplasma capsulatum H88 hypothetical RNA". Lineage: Eukaryota; Fungi; Ascomycota; Eurotiomycetes; Onygenales; Ajellomycetaceae. The record is from RNAcentral.
UGGCCUUCCACCAAUUACUGCCAUAUUAUCAUGUAGCGGUGAUGUCCUGAUGCGCAUCAUGGCUUUUAGUGCUGUCUGCUUGAGCUGCUGUUGUACAGGAAGCAAGUGUGCUUCCACGUCUACUGCAGACCCGGCGGUCGUUCGGAAUGCUCCAGUGAUAAUCUGAGCUGCUCGUCGCUGAAUCUUUUUAAUGGCAUUUACCAUGCUGCCGCUCCGGCUCGUGUACCAUGCGGAGCAGCCGUACAGCAUCUGAGGUACGAUCAUCGCCCGAUAAACCCGUCGAAGGUUGAUUGCCCCUGUUCCCCAUAUUGAGGAUGCCAAGGCAGAUAGGGCC